GAUGAACGCUGACAGAAUGCUUAACACAUGCAAGUCGAUGGGGAAGUGGUGCUUGCACCAUGGUAACCAUGGCGGACGGGUGAGUAACGCGUAAGGAACUUGCCUGCGGGACUGGGAUAACAGCAGGAAACUGCUGAUAAUACCGGAUAAGGUCAUUAAGCUGCAUAGCUUAGUGAUGAAAGGAGACGCCUGCGGAGAGCCUUGCGUCCUAUUAGCUAGUUGGAGGGGUAACGGCCCACCAAGGCGAAGGUAGGUAGCCGGCCUGAGAGGGUGGACGGCCACAGGGGGAAUGGGAUACGGCCCUGACUCCUACGGGAAGCAGGAGUGGGGAAUAUUGGACGAUGGGGGCAACCCUGAUCCAGCAAUUCUGUGUGCACGAAGACGGUUUUCGGAUUGUAAAGUGCUUUCAGCAGGGAAGAGGGAAGUGACGGUACCUGCAGAAGAAGCGACGGCUAAAUACGUG
This 463-nucleotide ribosomal RNA is filed under the name uncultured bacterium. RNAcentral's name for it is "partial 16S ribosomal RNA". It matches the Rfam family "Bacterial small subunit ribosomal RNA", at positions 28 to 507 of the family's 1533-position model. The record is from RNAcentral.